RNAcentral lists this ribosomal RNA (430 nucleotides) under uncultured bacterium. RNAcentral's name for it is "bacterial SSU rRNA". It matches the Rfam family "Bacterial small subunit ribosomal RNA", at positions 355 to 776 of the family's 1533-position model. The record is from RNAcentral.
UGAGGAAUAUUGCGCAAUGGUCGCAAGACUGACGCAGCAACGCCGCGUGAGGGAUGAAGUACUUCGGUAUGUAAACCUCUGUUAGAAGGAAAGAACGGGUGGUUGUCGAAUAGGCAGCCGCCGUGACGGUACCUUCAGAGAAAGCCCCGGCUAACUCCGUGCCAGCAGCCGCGGUAACACGGGGGGGGCAAGCGUUGUCCGGAAUUAUUGGGCGUAAAGGGCGCGUAGGUGGGACAGCAAGUCUGAGGUGCAAUCUUGCGGCUUAACUGCAAGCUUGCCUUGGAUACUACUGUUCUUGAGUUCGGAAGAGGGUAGUGGAAUUCCUGGUGUAGCGGUGAAAUGCGUAGAUAUCAGGAAGAACACCGGUGGCGAAGGCGGCUACCUGGUCCGAUACUGACACUGAGGCGCGAAAGUGCGGGGAGCAAACAGG